UGCCUCUCAGGAGGGCACCUGGAGAGUGUCUAGUACUCUACCGGUCUUGGCUACGGGAGGGAGAGUCAAGCAAAGGCAUACCCAUUCAAUUCCUAGCUUGGGCAGUGGCUAGCGAGUGGAAGGCAAUCUGCUACAAGU
Molecule: small nucleolar RNA, 138 nt
Organism: Ornithorhynchus anatinus (platypus)
Lineage: Eukaryota; Metazoa; Chordata; Mammalia; Monotremata; Ornithorhynchidae
Source: RefSeq, a predicted model, not a curated record